Molecule: ribosomal RNA, 372 nt
Filed under: uncultured bacterium
Lineage: Bacteria
Description: bacterial SSU rRNA
Rfam family: Bacterial small subunit ribosomal RNA
Source: RNAcentral
AUUGAACGCUGGCGGCAUGCCUUACACAUGCAAGUCGAACGGCAGCGGGCCUUCGGGUGCCGGCGAGUGGCGAACGGGUGAGUAAUGCAUCGGAACGUGCCAUUGAGUGGGGGAUAACGUAGCGAAAGUUACGCUAAUACCGCAUAUUCUGUGAGCAGGAAAGCAGGGGACCGCAAGGCCUUGCGCUCUUUGAGCGGCCGAUGUCAGAUUAGCUAGUUGGUGAGGUAAAGGCUUACCAAGGCGACGAUCUGUAGCGGGUCUGAGAGGAUGAUCCGCCACACUGGAACUGAGACACGGUCCAGACUCCUACGGGAGGCAGCAGUGGGGGAAUUUUGGACAAUGGGCGCAAGCCUGAGUCCAGCCAUGCCGCGU